Molecule: ribosomal RNA, 500 nt
Filed under: uncultured bacterium
Lineage: Bacteria
Description: partial 16S ribosomal RNA
Rfam family: Bacterial small subunit ribosomal RNA
Source: RNAcentral
AUUGAACGCUGGCGGCAUGCCUUACACAUGCAAGUCGAACGGCAGCACGGGUGCUUGCACCUGGUGGCGAGUGGCGAACGGGUGAGUAAUAUAUCGGAACGUACCUUAUUGUGGGGGAUAACGCAGCGAAAGCUGUGCUAAUACCGCAUAACCCCUUAGGGGGAAAGCGGGGGACCGUAAGGCCUCGCGCAAUUAGAGCAGCCGAUACCUGAUUAGCUAGUUGGUGAGGUAAAGGCUCACCAAGGCGACGAUCAGUAGCUGGUCUGAGAGGACGAUCAGCCACACUGGGACUGAGACACGGCCCAGACUCCUACGGGAGGCAGCAGUGGGGAAUUUUGGACAAUGGGGCAACCCUGAUCCAGCAAUGCCGCGUGAGUGAAGAAGGCCUUCGGGUUGUAAAGCUCUUUUGUCAGGGAAGAAACAGCAGCUCUAACACAGUAUGCGAAUGACGGUACCUGAAGAAUAAGCACCGGCUAACUACGUGCCAGCCGCCGCCGUAA